This 223-nucleotide unclassified non-coding RNA is filed under the name plant metagenome. Its description in RNAcentral is "partial contains small subunit ribosomal RNA, internal transcribed spacer 1, and 5.8S ribosomal RNA". The record is from RNAcentral.
UCUCCGUUGGUGAACCAGCGGAGGGACCAUUACCGAGUUAUCAACUCCCAAACCCCUGUGAACAUACCCAACGUUGCUUCGGCGGGACCGCCCCGGCGCCCUCGGCGUCCCGGAACCAGGCGCCCGCCGGAGGACCCAAACUCUUGUUUAAACCAUAGUGGCAUAUUCUGAGUCUCACAAGAAAAAUGAAUUAAGACUUUCAACAACGGAUCUCUUGGCUCUG